GCACGCGAACUAGCGUAUGAAAUAUCAAACCGUCAUUCUGCUCUGACUACGGAUCAGAAGGUUGGGGGUUCGAAUCCCUUCGCGCGCACCA
This 91-nucleotide transfer RNA is filed under the name Arthrobacter sp. zg-Y1110. Its description in RNAcentral is "tRNA-Arg". The record is from RNAcentral. Lineage: Bacteria; Bacillati; Actinomycetota; Actinomycetes; Micrococcales; Micrococcaceae.